This 29-nucleotide non-coding RNA is filed under the name Mus musculus (house mouse). Lineage: Eukaryota; Metazoa; Chordata; Mammalia; Rodentia; Muridae. The record is from RNAcentral.
UGGUAAAGUGCUAGGCUUAGGACAAAGGU